This 1680-nucleotide ribosomal RNA is filed under the name Aphelenchoides sp. YN. Its description in RNAcentral is "SSU rRNA". It matches the Rfam family "Eukaryotic small subunit ribosomal RNA". The record is from RNAcentral. Lineage: Eukaryota; Metazoa; Nematoda; Chromadorea; Rhabditida; Aphelenchoididae.
AUGCAUGUCUAAGUGGAGUAUUAUAAAGCGAAACUGCGAACGGCUCAUUACAACAGAUAUAAUCUACUUGUUCUAUUCUUUAAACUGAUAACUGAGGAAAAUCUUGAGCCAAACAAGUGAAAAAAGCCGGAUUCAGCAAUGAGUUCGGUGCACUUAUCGGAGCAAAAUCAAUCUUGAUUCAUGCUAACUCUAGAUAACCUUGCUUAUCGCACGACCUUGCGUCGGCGAAGUUACAUUCGAGUAUCUGCCUUAUCAACUAUCGUUGGUAGUGUAUUGGAUUACCAUGGUGUUGACGGGUAACGGAGAAUCAGGGUUCGACUCCGGAGAGGGAGCCUUAGAAACGGCUACCAUGUCUAAGGACAGCAGCAGGCGCGCAACUUAUCCACUGUUCAUUGAACGAGAUAGUGACGAGAAAUAACAAGCUCAUUCUCUUUGAGGUUGAGCAUUGGAAUGGAUGAAAUCUAAACAAUUUCAUGAGUACCCAUGAGAGGGCAAGUCUGGUGCCAGCAGCCGCGGUAAUUCCAGCUCUCAUAAUGUAUAGAAUUAUUGUUGCGGUUAAAAAGUUCGUAGUUGGAUUUUGUACCUGUUACGGGUGGCAUCUUUUGGUGUCUACUUGUACGGGUUUUUUCACAGUGUUGGACUUGUUCAACAUUGUGGGGUUACUUUGAACGGCUUAAGUGCUCAAAGCGGGUCUUCGGACCGAAUACCGGUGCAUGGAAUAAUGGAACAAGGUUUCGAUCGAGUUUUAUUGGUUUUGUCGGUUGAGACAAUGGUUAACAGGAACAGCUGGGGGCACUCGUAUUGCUGCGCGAGAGGUGAAAUUCGUGGACCGCAGCAAGACGCCCAAAAGCGAAGGCAUUUGCCAAGAGUGUUUUCAUUAAUCAAGAACGAAAGUCAGAGGUUCGAAGGCGAUUAGAUACCGCCCUAGUUCUGACCGUAAACGAUGCCAACUAUCAAUCCGCUAGUGGCAUUUAGUCAUUGGCGGGCGGAUCGACGGAAACGAAAGUUUUUCGGUUCCGGGGGAAGUAUGGUUGCAAAGCUGAAACUUAAAGGAAUUGACGGAAGGGCACCACCAGGAGUGGAGCUUGCGGCUUAAUUUGACUCAACACGGGAAAUCUCACCCGGCCAGUACAUCAUAAGGAUUGACAGAUUGAAAGCUCUUUCAUGAUUUGAUGAAUGGUGGUGCAUGGCCGUUCUUAGUUCGUGGCGUGAGUCGUCUGCUUAAUUGCGAUAACGAGCGAGACUCCGACUGCUAAAUACCAGUGGGAUUUUUUUGUCCCUCGCGGUUCUUAGCUGGAUUCGCGGCUUUAAGCCGCAAGAAAUGGAGCAAUAACAGGUCUGUGAUGCCCUUAGAUGUUCGGGGCGGCACGCGUGCUACAAUGAUGAUAACAGCAUGCUUGUGCUCGACCGACAGGUCUUGCCAAACAUAUGAGAUAUUAUUAUGGCUGGAAUUGAGUGUUGAAACUUUCUCUCAUGAACGAGGAAUUCCAAGUAAAUGCAAGUCAUCAACUUGCAUUGAUUACGUCCCUGCCCUUUGUACACACCGCCCGUCGCUACCCGGGACUGAGUUGUUUCGAGAAAUCUACGGACCGCUGGAAUGGAGGCAACUUCAUUUUUGGUGGAAAGUAAAUUAAUCGCAAUGGCUUGAACCGGGUAAAAGUCGUAACAAGGUAGCCGUAG